Molecule: ribosomal RNA, 510 nt
Filed under: uncultured bacterium
Lineage: Bacteria
Description: partial 16S ribosomal RNA
Rfam family: Bacterial small subunit ribosomal RNA
Source: RNAcentral
GACGAACGCUGGCGGCGUGCUUAACACAUGCAAGUCGAACGAAGAGCGAUGGAAGCUUGCUUCUAUCAAUCUUAGUGGCGAACGGGUGAGUAACGCGUAAUCAACCUGCCCUUCAGAGGGGGACAACAGUUGGAAACGACUGCUAAUACCGCAUACGAUCUGACCUCGGCAUCGAGGAUAGAUGAAAGGUGGCCUCUAUUUAUAAGCUAUCACUGAAGGAGGGGAUUGCGUCUGAUUAGCUAGUUGGAGGGGUAACGGCCCACCAAGGCGAUGAUCAGUAGCCGGUCUGAGAGGAUGAACGGCCACAUUGGGACUGAGACACGGCCCAGAAUCCUACGGGAGGCAGCAGUGGGGAAUCUUCCGCAAUGGACGAAAGUCUGACGGAGCAACGCCGCGUGAGUGAUGACGGCCUUCGGGUUGUAAAGCUCUGUUAAUCGGGACGAAAGGCCUUCUUGCGAAUAGUUAGAAGGAUUGACGGUACCGGAAGAGAAAGCCACGGCUAACUACGUG